GUCUAUUUGAUGAUAUAAAUAGUCUGGCCUGCCCACUGAUUAAUAAUAAUUGAAGGGCCGCGGUAUUCUAACCGUGCAAAGGUAGCAUAAUCAUUAGGUUUUUAAUUGGAAUCUUGUAUGAAUGGUUAGACAAAAGGAAUUCUGUCUUUAUAUUAAAUUUUGAAUUUAACUUUUAAGUGAAAAGGCUUAAAUACUUUAAAGGGACGAUAAGACCCUAUAAAACUUUACAUUAUGAUUUUAUUUAAUUAAAUUUUUAAAAUAAAGAUUUUAUUUAAUUAUAUGUUAUGUUGGGGAGACAAAAGUAAAAUAAAUUUUAACUGCUUUUUAUUAAAACAAUUAUUUAUGAAUAAUUAAAAGAUCCUUAAUAAAGAUUUUGAGAUUAAGUUACUUUAGGGAUAACAGCGUUAUUUUUUUUAAGAGUUCUUAUCGAAAAAAGAGUUUGCGACCUCGAUGUUGAAUUAAAAUAUCUUUAUAGUGCAGAAGCUAUAGUAGAAGGUCUGUUCGACCUUUAAAUUUUUACAUGAUUUGAGUUCAAACCGGCGUGAGCCAGGUUGGUUUCUAUCUUUUAAAUUUAUAUAAGUUAUUUUAGUACGAAAGGA
This 599-nucleotide ribosomal RNA is filed under the name Potamon gedrosianum. Its description in RNAcentral is "partial 16S ribosomal RNA". It matches the Rfam family "Bacterial large subunit ribosomal RNA", at positions 1830 to 2691 of the family's 2925-position model. The record is from RNAcentral. Lineage: Eukaryota; Metazoa; Arthropoda; Malacostraca; Decapoda; Potamidae.